UGCAAGUCGAACGCGAACGAGUUCUUCGGAACUUUAGUAGAGUGGCGCACGGGUGAGUAACGCGUAAGUAAUCUACCCUCGCAUCAGGGAUAACCCACCGAAAGGUGUGCUAAUACCGGAUACGUCUAUGUUAAUAUCUUUUUUAUAGAGAAAGGUGGCCUCUGAUUCAAGCUACUGUGCGGGGAGGAGCUUGCGUACCAUUAGCUAGUUGGUAGGGUAACGGCCUACCAAGGCGACGAUGGUUAGCGGGUCUGAGAGGAUGAUCCGCCACACUGGAACUGAAACACGGACCAGACUCCUACGGGAGGCAGCAGUGAGGAAUAUUGCGCAAUGGGGGCAACCCUGACGCAGCGACGCCGCGUGGAUGAUGAAGGCCUUCGGGUUGUAAAACCCUGUCAGAUGGGAAGAAGUGCUAUAUGGUUAAUACCUGUAUAGUUUGACGGUACCAUCAAAGGAAGCACCGGCUAACUCCGUGCCAGCAGCCGCGGUAAUACGGAGGGUGCAAGCGUUGUUCGGAAUUACUGGGCGUAAAGCGCGCGUAGGCGGCUAUGUAAGUCAGAUGUGAAAGCCCGCGGCUCAACCGUGGAAGUGCAUUUGAAACUGUAUAGCUUGAGUACUGGAGGGGGUAGUGGAAUUCCCGGUGUAGAGGUGAA
Molecule: ribosomal RNA, 653 nt
Filed under: uncultured Desulfobacterales bacterium
Lineage: Bacteria; Pseudomonadati; Thermodesulfobacteriota; Desulfobacteria; Desulfobacterales
Description: bacterial SSU rRNA
Rfam family: Bacterial small subunit ribosomal RNA
Source: RNAcentral